CCGCGCCUCCGCCUUCCCCGCCCCCCUCACCGUGUGUGUACAACAGCUGAGGCCCGGCGAGCUAAUGCUGGACGUCCUGGGCUGGGGGGUGGAAAUUAAACAGACGAUGACCUUUCCUUUCCCCGCCCGGUUUUCCCAAGUAAAAACGCAUUUAAAAACCACAAGCGUCAUUUCCGAUCUCGCUCCCCACCCCACCCCAAGCAGUACAUUUAAAUGUCCAGUUUCAAGAUUUUCGUUGCGAAUUUCAUAGAGGGAAUUACUCAUUUCGUCUGUAAUCAAACCUCCUCCCUCCCUGCCCCCCGCCCCCCGGUAUGGAUGUUGCAUUCCUUGCUACCACUGAUGCCAGAGCACCUGCAAAAUUAGCUGUUUUCCAUUUGCCCAGAAACUGCCUUUUCGAUUUGUUUUUGUGCUCUGGUCUAGGAACCUGAGUUUCAACGACAGAGCUAAAUGAAUUCAGGGUGAGCUACUCCUCCCCCCAGUCGCACUCUAAAAAUUUUGGCUGCAUGUCUAAAGAAGCUACGAGCACCCGGAGGCCUUUAAGGAAAAACAGUCUACUGGCUGCGCACAGCUGCAGUUGGGGGCAGGGAGGGAGAAGGUGCUGGAGAGGCCAAACAGGUUGUGCCAGUGGGUUCUUACACAUACAGAAGUUUUGGAUCUGUCACUGCCACAGACUAAAACAAAUACAGCGUGGGGUGUGUGGAGCAUACUGUCAGGCCCACAGGAAGAGGACAGUAAGUGUUGGUUAUUAUAAGUAUUGAUAUUAACGUUGGUACUGUUGCUAGUUAAGGUGUGAAACUCCCUUGUAAAUUGCAUAAAAUGUAAAUUGCAUAAAAUGUAAGGAUCGGCACUCUCAUCACUAUUACCUACUAAUUGUAAUAAAGUUCAGUUGAAAAAACA
RNAcentral lists this long non-coding RNA (897 nucleotides) under Ursus maritimus (polar bear). Its description in RNAcentral is "lncRNA (ENSUMAG00000007488.1)". The record is from RNAcentral. Lineage: Eukaryota; Metazoa; Chordata; Mammalia; Carnivora; Ursidae.